RNAcentral lists this long non-coding RNA (283 nucleotides) under Ananas comosus (pineapple). Its description in RNAcentral is "long non-coding RNA (ACOM_LNC007423)". Lineage: Eukaryota; Viridiplantae; Streptophyta; Magnoliopsida; Poales; Bromeliaceae. The record is from RNAcentral.
UUACAACCACAUUUGGUACUCAUAAUCUAUCUUCAAUUGAAUCUGCAUCGCCGUUUCAACCAGCUCUUUAAGUUAGUACAUAAUGAUAUUCUUAUAUUUUUAAUAUUUAACAAUCCACCUAAUUAAUUAUGCUAGGAUCAUGACGUGACUCAAACUCAUGAACUUUUAUUUCGAUAUUAUGUUAAAUAAUGUGAAACAACUAUUUUCUUCGAAAACUUAAGGCGGUAUAGAAUAAUGAUUUUUCUAUUUUUAUAUUUACAAAACCUAGAUAGUGGUUAUUCUU